UACCAGCACCCCGAGUGGUCGGGAAGAUUAUUGGGCCUAAAGCAUCCGUAGCCGGCCUUACAAGUCCUCCGUUAAAUCCAGCUGCUUAACAGAUGGGCUGCGGAGGAUACUAUAAGACUAGGAGGCAGGAGAGGCAAGCGGUACUCAGUGGGUAGGGGUAAAAUCCGUUGAUCCAUUGAAGACCACCAGUGGCGAAGGCGGCUUGCCAGAAUGCGCUCGACGGUGAGGGAUGAAAGCUGGGGGAGCAAACCGG
This 253-nucleotide ribosomal RNA is filed under the name uncultured bacterium. Its description in RNAcentral is "partial 16S ribosomal RNA". It matches the Rfam family "Archaeal small subunit ribosomal RNA", at positions 474 to 727 of the family's 1478-position model. The record is from RNAcentral.